Molecule: ribosomal RNA, 654 nt
Filed under: Triticum aestivum (bread wheat)
Lineage: Eukaryota; Viridiplantae; Streptophyta; Magnoliopsida; Poales; Poaceae
Description: partial small subunit ribosomal RNA
Source: RNAcentral
AUGGGCGAGCAUGAGGCAACGUCGGGGCCCGCCGGCUUUGCUGCCGAUGAGCUGCACCAGCCAAUCGUCUGGUCUGGUAGCUCAGAGACACAUGCUGUGGGCCAUUCUAUGACCAUGGGCCAAGGCAGGAACGGCCACGUUCAUGGCCCAUGCAACGGGCAGCCAGCGGUGUUUGGUGCAGUUGCAUAUGGCCAGGUCGGAGAGCGCGGUGGGCAGCUUCUGGGCCAGGACGCCAUGGAGAGCACGCCGGCUGGGCCGCAGGUAGGCGUCGGCCUAUCGGAUGACUGCGUUCAAGCCUUCCUGGCGAGGGCGACAAAGGAUGUGCCAAGACCGCUGCUGCCUAACCCCAGACCCCCUGCUUGCCGCCCUAGGAAGGCAGCGCGCGCUCCAGCGACGGCGACAAGACGCAGUAACAGACUGCAGGGGAAGAAGCUCCUGUUCGGCGACGGCGGCUCUGUCAUGAAACAAGCAAGGAUGUUAGUCAUGUCCAAAAGGGGGCUGGCAAUUCCGGAGCAAGGAGAGGUGGAAGACGACCGUCUCGAGAGAUAUGCUCGAGCCUUUGAUGAACCUCUCUCCCCACCGCAGAUCAAGGCUUUGAUGACUCUAGCUCGGACAGGAAAGGAGCAUAUCUUAGUGCCGCCGGCCACGGCUUAG